RNAcentral lists this non-coding RNA (24 nucleotides) under Arabidopsis thaliana (thale cress). The record is from RNAcentral. Lineage: Eukaryota; Viridiplantae; Streptophyta; Magnoliopsida; Brassicales; Brassicaceae.
UUUUUAUGGCGCCAAAUCUUAUAA